ACCUGGUUGAUCCUGCCAGUAGUCAUAUCGCUUGUCUUUAACAUUAAGCCAUGCAUGUCUCACAAUAAGCUUCCACACGGCGAAUCUGCGAAUGGCUCAUUAAAACAGUUAUCGCUUCUUUGAUGGUCAAGUUCCUAUACGGACAACUGUGGUAAUUCUAGAGCUAAUACGUGCCUAAAGCCGCGACUUAUUGGAAGCGGCGUAUUUAUUAGAUACAGAACCAAUGGCUUCGGGCUCAUUGGAUGAUUCAUAAUAAACGAACGAAGCACACCAAUUUCGGCGCUAGAUCAUUCAAGUUUCUGACCUAUCAGCUUUCGACGGGAGGGUAUUGGCCUACCGUGGCAUUGACGGGUAACGCAGAAUUAGGGUUCGAUUCCGGAGAGGGAGCCCGAGAAACGGCUAUAGAUCUAAGGAAGGCAGCCCCCCCGCAAAUUACCCAAUCCUGACACAGGGAGGUAGUGACAAGAAAUAACAAAGCAAGGAACAAUGUUAUUUUGCUAUUGGAAUGAGUAGAAUUUAAAUCUCUUUUCGACUAUCAAUUGGAGGGCAAGUCUGGCGCACCAGGCCCGGUAAUUCCAGCUCCACAGCGGAUACUUCAAGGUUGUUGCGGUAAAAAGCUCGUAGUUGGAUUUCUGCAGAGGGAGGUCGGUCCGCUCUACGAGCGUGUAUCUGGCUCUGCCUUUGCCUCCUCACAUGGAACGUUGCUGCGCUUCACUGCGUGGUGCGGAACGUGUGACUUUUACUUCGAGGAAAUUAGAGUGUUCACAGCAGGCAAUCGCUUUGAAUAUGUUAGCAUGGAAUAAUGAUAUAGGACCUUGGCCCUAUUUUGUUGGUUUCUAGAGCUAAGGUAAUGAUUAACAGGGACAAUUGGGGGUAUCCGUAUCAAGACGUCAGAGGUGGAAUUCUUGGAUUGUCUUGCGACGAACUACUGCGAAAGCAUUUACCAAGGAUGUUUUCAUUGAUCAAUUAUCGUAAGUAAGGGGAUCGAAGAUGAUUAGAUACCGUCGUAGUCUUUACCAUAAACUAUGGCAAUUAGGGAUGGGCAGUCGUUCUUUUUAUGACUCUGCCCGCACCUUAUGAGAUAUCAAAAUUNNUCUGGCUCCCGGGGGGAGUAUGAUCGCAAGAUUGAGACUUAAAGGAAUUGACGGAAGGGCACCACCAGGAGUGGAGCUUGCGGCUUAAUUUGACUCAACACGGGAAAACUCACCAGGUCCAGACAUAGUGAGGAUUGACAGAUUGACAGCUCUUUCUUGAUUCUUUGGGUGGUGGUGCAUGGCCGUUCUUAGUUGGUGGAGUGAUUUGUCUGCUUAAUUGCGUUAACGAACGAGACCUCAACCUGCUAAAUAGACCGUUCUAUCUUCGGAUGAAUGGCUGUCUUCUUAGAGGGACUGCGUCCCCUUUAGGACGUGGAAAGUUUGAGUCUAAAACCAGGUCUGUAAUGCCCUUAGAUGUUCUGGGCUGCACGCGCGCUACACUGAUGCGUUCACCGAGUUUAUAACCUUUGACAGAUAUGUCCGGGUUAAUCUUUUGAACACCGCAUCGUGUUGGGGGAUAGAUUAUUGCAAUUAUUUCAUCCUUCCACGAGGGAAUUCCCUAAGUAAGCUUAAGCUCCUCAGCUUAAGGUUGAUUACCUGUCCCUGCCUCCUUUGGUACACUACCCGGCCCGGUCGCUGUCCUACCGGAAUUGGACCAUUUCGGUGAAUAUUUUCGGGAGUGGCUAUUAUACACGGUUCGCCGCGUUUAUGCCUGGAAACUUGAGUAAACGGCAAUCCUUAAAGGAAGAAGAAGUCGUAACAAGGUUUCCGUAAGCCACAUACAAAGGAU
RNAcentral lists this ribosomal RNA (1824 nucleotides) under uncultured marine Syndiniales. RNAcentral's name for it is "SSU rRNA". It matches the Rfam family "Eukaryotic small subunit ribosomal RNA". Lineage: Eukaryota; Dinophyceae; Syndiniales. The record is from RNAcentral.